ACAUGUUUAUUCAUACCUGCUUCGAUCUCCGUCCAAAAGUCAAGCUUCUUCCCCAAACAGUUGUUCGACCAUCAUCACACCUCCGCUACUUCUCACCUUCUGAUUCAUGAAAGAUCGGAUUAAUUUCUCUAUGAUAGUGAAUCAUCAACCGGAGAGGGUAAGCCUUAUGCUUUGACGACACCUCACUUUUGUUUUAACCAUCUAUUUCGGCAUAUCAUACCCUCGAUUUUGUUUUCAUGAAUUGAUUCUCUGCUUUUGUUCGACAAUUAGGGAUCGAAGGCAUCUUCACGAGCGAGAAUUUCAGCUAAUCAUAUGAUUUCGUAUGAUUCGCUUCUCAAGGAAACGGUUGAUGGUAAAAGAAGAUGUUGAUUGUCGUCGAUCAAAUACCAAAUACUCUCUUUUGCACGAACAAAUCCUCAAAUCCAUGUCGACCCUCUGAUUCGAUUGGAUCGUCACUAUCCAGAAAGCACAAAUUCCCUUCCAAUUGUGUAGUUCUCUUUCCACAACCAAAAAAAGUCCCAGCUCCUUGAAUUAUCGUGUGCUCCACCGGAGGUUGAAGACGGAGAUUUCAAUCUUUAUGUGUAUUUUAUUUAUUUGCACCUUGGUACACAUUUAGGGGUGUUUGACUUAGCUUUUCUAAGUCCAAAAUCCUUUUUAGGAAAAAUUAUAAAAAAGUCAGGAUUUUCUGACUUUUUCAAAAAUUUCAUUUUCCUUGUAUAAAAACUCCA
Molecule: long non-coding RNA, 728 nt
Filed under: Lactuca sativa (garden lettuce)
Lineage: Eukaryota; Viridiplantae; Streptophyta; Magnoliopsida; Asterales; Asteraceae
Description: long non-coding RNA (LSAT_LNC001822)
Source: RNAcentral